RNAcentral lists this ribosomal RNA (648 nucleotides) under uncultured Actinomycetes bacterium. RNAcentral's name for it is "bacterial SSU rRNA". It matches the Rfam family "Bacterial small subunit ribosomal RNA", at positions 61 to 704 of the family's 1533-position model. The record is from RNAcentral. Lineage: Bacteria; Bacillati; Actinomycetota; Actinomycetes.
GUCGAACGCUGAAGGCCCAGCUUGCUGCGGUUGGAUGAGUGGCGAACGGGUGAGUAACACGUGAGUAACCUGCCCCCUUCUUUGGGAUAACGGUCGGAAACGGCUGCUAAUACCGGGUAUUCACUGUCCUUCGCAUGGGGGGUGGUGGAAAGGUUUUUUCUGGUGGGGGAUGGGCUCGCGGCCUAUCAGCUUGUUGGUGGGGUGAUGGCUUACCAAGGCUUUGACGGGUAACCGGCCUGAGAGGGUGACCGGUCACAUUGGGACUGAGAUACGGCCCAGACUCCUACGGGAGGCAGCAGUGGGGAAUAUUGCACAAUGGGCGAAAGCCUGAUGCAGCGACGCCGCGUGAGGGAUGACGGCCUUCGGGUUGUAAACCUCUUUCGCUCAUGGUCAAGCCGCAACAGUGGUUGUGGUGAGGGUAGUGGGUAAAGAAGCGCCGGCUAACUACGUGCCAGCAGCCGCGGUAAUACGUAGGGCGCGAGCGUUGUCCGGAAUUAUUGGGCGUAAAGGGCUUGUAGGCGGUUGGUCGCGUCUGCCGUGAAAUCCUCUGGCUUAACUGGGGGCGUGCGGUGGGUACGGGCUGACUUGAGUGCGGUAGGGGAGACUGGAACUCCUGGUGUAGCGGUGGAGUGCGCAGAUAUCAGGAAG